AUCAUUCAUCAAUGGAGGUGGGUAGACCUUACCAAUAGUUCUCUGAAAACCAAGCUUGUGACGCAAGUCGAUUCAGUGGAAUUCAAUUUUGGAACUCAACAGAGAAGAUUGCGCCCCUUCGAAGGGUGAGCUUCGAGGUAGCAGGAGCCAAUCACAACCGGUAAAUUCCACCAAUCAGCACCGGUAAAAUACAAUGCUCUCAACGGGCCAAUCACCACCGGUAAGAUCAAAAGGUCCGACCAAUCAGCACCGGUAAAAUAACAAUAAAGCGUUGUCACGGAAUCCAAGCAACUCUUGUCCUUGAGUGAUACUGUAUUUAUUUCAAAGUUUUCGGCUUGAUCGAAGAAAAACUAAACUUGUUUGCUCUUAAAAAAGCGUAAAUUGAGUGAUAUCGUCUCAGCUUUUAUCAUUUUAGAGUAGACCAAUCAACCAAAACGACAUCUGGAGCUACUAAGGAGAAUUUUUAUGUCGAAGGAACGGUAUUCGAAGGUUCGACUUCAUUCUUUAUGAGUUUUAUAUUUCUUGCUUGCUGUAUUGUGCUUUUUUCUCUUUGUUUGUGAUCUUUCAGGUAAAAUGGCCCGAAUGCCAAAGAUUUCAACGAUUCUUAGACGGGACUUUGAUACAGAAAAGGCUCGAGAGGUAUUUCUGCUAGAACACUGAAAUUUUGCUCAUCUACUAAUGUGAGCUAUGAUGACUUCAGCACUGCAAUAAAAUUUCUAUUAGAAAUGUCUAUGGCUUUUUGCAUAGGGUCUAGUUAUGCUGUUUUUCUACUUUAAUUUUUGAAUGUGAAUUGAAUUGAAUUUAUGUAAAUCACAAACAGCCAAACUAUAUAUCUAUCAGUACAGAGUGUUUUCACUCACGUGAGAAGGCAGCCAUGAACAAUAGAAACUUUCUGCACAGUAUUUGAAUAAAAAUAGAGUUCAAUUCCCGGAGGAUAGAAAAUGUAUGUGGACCCCACGUGAAAACGCUCUAUACAUGUACAGUGUGUCUUUAUUUGGAGCCAAUUCAACUUCUCUUUAUUUCCUAGAAUUAUAGAAUCAAUAAUAUAACAAUGAAUUUUGAUUGUAGCUGAGCAACACAAUGAGGCUUUUUAUUAAAAAAACCUAACCACU
Molecule: long non-coding RNA, 1112 nt
Organism: Actinia tenebrosa (Australian red waratah sea anemone)
Lineage: Eukaryota; Metazoa; Cnidaria; Anthozoa; Actiniaria; Actiniidae
Source: RefSeq, a predicted model, not a curated record